UACGUAGGGUGCAAGCGUUGUCCGGAAUUAUUGGGCGUGAAGAGCUCGUAGGCGGCUCGUCGCGUCGACCGUGAAAACCCGCGGCUUAACUGCGGGCUUGCGGUUGAUACGGGCGGGCUAGAGUUCGGUAGGGGAGACUGGAACUCCUGGUGUAGCGGUGGAAUGCGCAGAUAUCAGGAAGAACACCUAUAGCGAAGGCAGCUUGCUGGGACGACACUGACGCUGAGGCGCGAAAGCGUGGGGAGCGAACAGG
Molecule: ribosomal RNA, 253 nt
Filed under: uncultured bacterium
Lineage: Bacteria
Description: partial 16S ribosomal RNA
Rfam family: Bacterial small subunit ribosomal RNA
Source: RNAcentral